Molecule: long non-coding RNA, 3693 nt
Filed under: Cricetulus griseus (Chinese hamster)
Lineage: Eukaryota; Metazoa; Chordata; Mammalia; Rodentia; Cricetidae
Description: lncRNA (ENSCGRG00015039667.1)
Source: RNAcentral
CUUCCCAAGUGCUGGGAUUAAAGGCAUGUGCCACCAACGCCCGGCCCCACCUGCCUCCUUUAGACCCUAUUGCAGCCAGUGUUCUUACAUUUAUCUCCCCAGGAAAUCUGGGACUAAGACCUUGUUUGUCAAGUCAGGCCUGGCUCCCACUGGGCCAGCAAUGACCACCUUUGGCCAGGCUGGGAUUCAGGACCAGGAACACCUUGCCAAUGAAAAGGAGGCAGAGACCUAGUGUGAGGGGUCCUCCUGUGGGCAAGCACAGCUGUUGCUGGUCUCUACCUGCCUUCUGUCUUGCCCCACUGAUACUGUGUGCCUGUCUACCUCAAUCAGAGCAAUGGGAAGUUCCUGAUCCAUGAAGCCAUAAGCUCCCUGGAGCUCCGACCUUGAAAGACAAAUGAAGGACUCAGUGCAUACUGUCUUAGGCAGUGGGUUGGGGCAGACUCCUCUAGGGCCCACCCUUGUCCCUACCUCAUUCCAAUGCUGAGCUGGUCUGGCCUGUGGAGAGCAGGAGGUUAUUAAUGGCUGGGAAGAGACCGCAGCUGGAAAUCCUCCCAGUGCCAGCUAAGUGCCUCACAGAAAACCCCAUUUGUGUAGGGCUCUGGGAACAAAAGCUCCACGUAAACAACUGUGGAGACUCUGGGUAACUCAAGGACCUCACAUUCAGACACCAGAGUUGUGAAACCUGAAUACCUGACUAGGUUAUUUAACCGUCUUCUGCGCUUGAUGGCAGUGGAAUGUGGACUUACCAAGCAUGAGUCAUCAGGAGCAGUACCUAGGAAAAUACCCAAGUCACCCCAAUUACACCAUUAUCAAUGGCUGCAUCGCCCUGCAACCCAACGCAAUGAAACUGGAGAGAAUGCCAGCUGGGCCGGGCCUAGAGGAAUCUGGCUCUUGGCGAAGAUUGCCUGCCUGGCAGAGGCCUCUGCAGUCAUGCCAAGCCACAAGCCCUGUGUGGUCGAUGUGCAGAGGUGUCAGGCCCAUUUUACAGUUAUGGAAACUAAGGCUCACCAGAGCUCAGGCCACUCUGGCAGCUCCAAUCAUAGAGGAGGGCCCAGAGGGAGAAAGGCUGUUUCAAGCAGUGGCUGCAAACACUGGGAUUGGAGAAGUAUCACCGGGAACUGCCAUCUUGGCUGCUGGAAUGACCAUCCAAGGAACAUCCAGUUUGUGUUGGCACAUGUCAUGAGCUGUGCAGGCAGCACUUCAAUAAUAGGUGCAAUUGCCUCUGCUUCGUAGAUGAUGAGAUGAAAAGAAUCCAUCACUGGCCAUGGUCAUGUGGUUGAAAGUGAAAAGCUGUGGAUUCCUUCAAGACUAACAUGGUUUGAUGAAGCAAGACCCCUGAGACAAUGCAGCCUCACAGACCACUACAAUCAGGAUUUGGCCAGGUUUAUGUUUUCUCAUGAUCCCCAUGACAUCGUUCCCAAACAGCAGAAAGUAGUUUGGGGAGAAUGACACCCAAAAUCCCCAAAAUUGUUUAUAAAUGUUUGUUUUCAUUUAAAUUUGUUUGGUUAUAAAUAAUUAAGGAUCACAACCAAAUUCUUUUUAAAGAAAAAAAGGGGAAUAUGAUAUAGAAAUGAAUACUUUGUAUUGGUAUGGAUUUUGAUUUAUUGAUACAAAUUUAGGGUCAAUUUUGUUAUAGUUAUAUUUCUAUUCUUAUUUAGGUAUUGUGUUUAUACAGCUCUCUCAAAAAUGUAAUAUAUAAUUAAAUACAGAUGAUAGUCACCUAUAAUAGUAAAAACUUAGGUUAGUUAGGUUUUCUAGAUAUACAGAGAUAUAUUUGAGAUAGAGAGUCUUCAAACCUUUCAAAGACCUUCAGAAUAUGGCAUCAAAAAUGGUUUUUCAUGACUUGAGACACAAUUGCUUCUGCCAACACCAAUUACUUCAGAGAGGAAGACGGAUAUCAAAGAAACUCGUUAUGGAGUUAUGGAGUUUGCCUUGACAUGGCAGAAAUAGCCUUUUGAGUAAGAAACUGCUCUUGCCUGGACUGUUUGACUGUAUGCUGUAUAAGGUGGACAUGCAGGACCAACAGGGAAGUGACUGCUGAACUUACAAAACAAGAUAGGACAGUCCUGCAGGUUUCCUGCUUCAUGGAAGAGUCUGCCAGACAUUCUACAGGACACAGAAAAAUGACUGACAAACUGCCAACGCAGGCGGACAGUUUAAAAUUUCUUGCUUCAAUGAAAAAUCUGUCAGACACACUGUGGCCUAUGGGCCAAAGAUGAAUGCCCCAACAUUACAGAGGAACUUCAGGUGACUGUCCAGUCAGUGAGAUGUCUCUGUUAAUUCUAGAGUUUAUAUAUUAUCCUUCUGUGGAUUUUGAUGGAGUUGAAGAUAGUUAGUUAUGGUUAUGGUUUUCCUUAGUUAUGAUAAAAGAUAAGUUACAUAAAAGACUUUAGACUCACAAAGAUAGGAUAGAUGAUAAAAUAUUUUCUUUAAAUGUUAAUGGACUAAAUAUUGUAACUAUAGUUCUUAUUUGAUAACUGUUUUGCUAUAUAUAAUUUUACUAUGGUAAAGUUAAAACCUUUUUAUUUAGACAGAAAAGAGGAGAUGAUGGGUUUGUCCUUCUGUAUAUGUUUAUCUUAUUGGUUGAUGAAUAACACACUGUGGCCAAUAGGGCAGCAAGACAGGCAGGCCUAGGACAUGAGAAGAAUUCUGGGAGGAGUAGUCAUGUGAUCCCUGGUUGAGAGGACCAGAGUCAGGUGUUCUCCGGUAAGAUAAGACCAUUAGUAGUUAUGGGUUGUUAAGUAAGACAGAGCUAGCCAAUAAAAGCCUAAGCCAUCAGUCAGCAGUUUCAUAACCAAUAUAAGUCUUUGUGUUCACUUGGGGCUGACACAGCUGUGGGACCAGGUUGGCAGGAAGAACCAUCAGUAACAGACAGGUCUCACUAUGUAGUCAGCCCCAGCUUGCCUCUAACUUUCAAUAUGGAUCAUGUUGGCCUUGAACUCAUGGAGAUAUAUUUGCCUCUCUGUUUUGGAAUAUUAUUUUAACUAUGUAAAGGUGUGUUACAUUUGUUUUUGUUGCUUUUGUUAAUGAUGCAAAGACAUGUUACAUUUCUUUGAGAAAUAAAAUGAACCUGGGGUCAGGAGGCUGAGUUGGCAACCAGCUGGCAGGAAGUGGUGGGAAGGAACUAAGUGUAGAGAGGGUUCUUUAGUGGGGACUGAGCAGAAGGACGGCCCUUUUUUUUCAGGAGGAGCAAGAAAAGAAGGAGAGCACUCCAGGGUCCAGCCACCCAGCUACACAACCAGCCACGGAGUAAGAAAGAAAGAACAGAACAGAAUAGAAUAGAAUAGAAUAGAAUAGAAUAGAAUAGAAUAUAGAGAAAGGUAAAAGCCCUCAGGCAAAAGGUAGGCAGGAUAAUAUAAGCAAGCUAAGGCCCGGCAUUCACAAGAAAGAAUAAGUCUCUCUAUAUUUAUUUGGGAACUGGUGGCAGGUCUCCAAAGAAUAAAAAGAAAAAACAAACAAAAAACAAAUAACUAUACCUCUCUGCCUUCUGGGUGCUGGGAUUAAAGACAUGUAUCACUAUACUCAGCUGGAGACACCUCCGUCCUGCCAUAGACACACAGGGCUGGUUGUACCUUUACACUCCUACAUGGGAGGGUAGAUAUAAAUAGAAUGUUGAAUUAUAUCUGCACAUUUUUGGGUACUUGGAUUAUAAGUAAGAACCAUCUUUUGUUGGUUGUGUGCUAACACAAAAGU